GUCUCUUUGUUAUAUAAAGAUAGGGAGUCUGGCCUGCCCAGUGACUGAAAAGUUAAACGGCUGCAGUAUAUAUGACUGUACAAAGGUAGCGUAAUCAUUUGCCCUUUAAUUGGGGGCCCGUAUGAAUGGCUUGACGAGGGCAUGACUGUCUUUUUGUGAAAUACAUAGAAAUUAUUUUUUAGGUGAAAACUCCUAAGUCUUGUUGGGGGACGAGAAGACCCUGUUGAGCUUUAGUGAUAUUUUUAAUAAUACGUUAUAAAGUUUAUAUUGAUGAUUAGAAAUUAAUCUUUAGUUGGGGCAACUAAGGGGCAAGUAAAACCCCCUUUAAUAUAAAUGUGGUUGAUGAAUAUUAGAUCCAAUAUGUUUGUAUUGAUCUAGAGAAUAAGUUACCAUAGGGAUAACAGCGCGAUUUUUUUGGAGAGUUCUUAUUGAUAAAAGAGUUUGCGACCUCGAUGUUGGACUAAGAUACCCCAAAGGUGCAGCAGCUUUUAGUGGUUAGUCUGUUCGACUAUUAAAAUCUUACG
RNAcentral lists this ribosomal RNA (524 nucleotides) under Puncturella cucullata. RNAcentral describes it as "partial 16S ribosomal RNA". It matches the Rfam family "Bacterial large subunit ribosomal RNA", at positions 1817 to 2600 of the family's 2925-position model. Lineage: Eukaryota; Metazoa; Mollusca; Gastropoda; Lepetellida; Fissurellidae. The record is from RNAcentral.